Molecule: ribosomal RNA, 936 nt
Filed under: Amphisphaeria uniseptata
Lineage: Eukaryota; Fungi; Ascomycota; Sordariomycetes; Amphisphaeriales; Amphisphaeriaceae
Description: SSU rRNA
Rfam family: Eukaryotic small subunit ribosomal RNA
Source: RNAcentral
AUUAUACAGCGAAACUGCGAAUGGCUCAUUAAAUCAGUUAUCGUUUAUUUGAUAGUACCUUACUACUUGGAUAACCGUGGUAAUUCUAGAGCUAAUACAUGCUAAAAACCCCGACUCGCGGAGGGGUGUAUUUAUUAGAUUAAAAACCAAUGCCCUUCGGGGCUCCUUGGUGAUUCAUAAUAACUUCUCGAAUCGCAUGGCCUUGCGCCGGCGAUGGUUCAUUCAAAUUUCUGCCCUAUCAACUUUCGAUGGCAGGGUCUUGGCCUGCCAUGGUUACAACGGGUAACGGAGGGUUAGGGCUCGACCCCGGAGAAGGAGCCUGAGAAACGGCUACUACAUCCAAGGAAGGCAGCAGGCGCGCAAAUUACCCAAUCCCGAUUCGGGGAGGUAGUGACAAUAAAUACUGAUACAGGGCUCUUUAGGGUCUUGUAAUUGGAAUGAGUACAAUUUAAAUCCCUUAACGAGGAACAAUUGGAGGGCAAGUCUGGCGGUCCGCCUCACCGCGUGCACUGGUUCGGCCGGGCCUUUCCCUCUGGGGAACCUCAUGCUCUUCACUGAGUGUGCUGGGGAACCAGGACUUUUACUGUGAAAAAAUUAGAGUGUUCAAAGCAGGCCUAUGCUCGAAUACAUUAGCAUGGAAUAAUAGAAUAGGACGUGUGGUUCUAUUUUGUUGGUUUCUAGGACCGCCGUAAUGAUUAAUAGGGACAGUCGGGGGCAUCAGUAUUCAAUUGUCAGAGGUGAAAUUCUUGGAUUUAUUGAAGACUAACUACUGCGAAAGCAUUUGCCAAGGAUGUUUUCAUUAAUCAGGAACGAAAGUUAGGGGAUCGAAGACGAUCAGAUACCGUCGUAGUCUUAACCAUAAACUAUGCCAACUAAGGAUCGGACGAUGUUAUUUUUUGACUCGUUCGGCACUUUACGAGAAAUCAAAGUCUUUGG